GAUGAACGCUGGCGGCGUGCUUAACACAUGCAAGUCGAACGAAGCAUUUGCGACAGAUUUUUUCGGAAUGAAGUUGCUUAUGACUGAGUGGCGGACGGGUGAGUAACGCGUGGGUAACCUGCCUUGUACUGGGGGAUAGCAGCUGGAAACGGCUGGUAAUACCGCAUAAGCGCACAAUGUUUCAUGACAUGGUGUGAAAAACUCCGGUGGUAUAAGAUGGACCCGCGUCUGAUUAGCUAGUUGGUGAGAUAACAGCCCACCAAGGCGACGAUCAGUAGCCGACCUGAGAGGGUGACCGGCCACAUUGGGACUGAGACACGGCCCAGACUCCUACGGGAGGCAGCAGUGGGGAAUAUUGCACAAUGGAGGAAACUCUGAUGCAGCGACGCCGCGUGAGUGAAGAAGUAAUUCGUUAUGUAAAGCUCUAUCAGCAGGGAAGAUAGUGACGGUACCUGACUAAGAAGCUCCGGCUAAAUACGUG
RNAcentral lists this ribosomal RNA (481 nucleotides) under uncultured bacterium. RNAcentral describes it as "partial 16S ribosomal RNA". It matches the Rfam family "Bacterial small subunit ribosomal RNA", at positions 28 to 507 of the family's 1533-position model. The record is from RNAcentral.